Molecule: ribosomal RNA, 464 nt
Filed under: uncultured bacterium
Lineage: Bacteria
Description: partial 16S ribosomal RNA
Rfam family: Bacterial small subunit ribosomal RNA
Source: RNAcentral
CCUACGGGCGGCAGCAGUGGGGAAUUUUGGACAAUGGGCGCAAGCCUGAUCCAGCUAUUCCGCGUGUGGGAUGACGGCCCUCGGGUUGUAAACCACUUUUGUAGAGAACGAAAAGACACCUUCGAAUAAAGGGUGUUGCUGACGGUACUCUAAGAAUAAGCACCGGCUAACUACGUGCCAGCAGCCGCGGUAAUACGGAGGAUGCGAGCGUUAUCCGGAUUUAUUGGGUUUAAAGGGUGCGCAGGCGGCCUGUUAAGUCAGCGGUAAAAGCCCGGGGCUCAACCCCGGCGAGCCGUUGAAACUGGCGGGCUGGAGUUGGAGAGAAGUACGCGGAAUGCGCGGUGUAGCGGGGAAAUGCUUAGAUAUCGCGCAGAACCCCGAUUGCGAAGGCAGCGUACCGGCUCCACACUGACGCUGAGGCACGAAAGCGUGGGUAUCGAACAGGAUUAGAUACCCUAGUAGUC